Molecule: ribosomal RNA, 325 nt
Filed under: uncultured eukaryote
Lineage: Eukaryota
Description: partial 18S ribosomal RNA
Rfam family: Eukaryotic small subunit ribosomal RNA
Source: RNAcentral
CCCUUAGAUGUUCUGGGCCGCACGCGCGCUACACUGAUGCAUUCAACGAGUCUAAAACCUGCUCUGAUAGGGGUGGGUAAUCUUUUGAAUGUGCAUCGUGAUUGGGAUAGAUGAUUGCAAUUUUUCGUCUUCAACGAGGAAUGCCUAGUAAACGCAAGUCAUCAGCUUGCAUUGAUUACGUCCCUGCCCUUUGUACACACCGCCCGUCGCUCCUACCGAUUGAAUGGUCCGGUGAAAUCUCCGGACUGGCGUGAGUCGGAGCAAUCUGACAAACACCGGAAAGUUGAUUAAACCUUACCAUUUAGAGGAAGGUGAAGUCGUAACA